AUAGAUUGGAAGUUACUGUAGUAUAGAGCAGGUGCACUCCACAAGCAAACAAGUGGAACUUCUAACUCGCUGACGUUGAGCCCUGCGUUAGAGAAUCCAAGUGGCUUGUUCCCCCAGAGUAAGUAGUGAAGAAGCUUAGGAAGAAGAAUAGAAGCAAGGCAAUAAAAGAAGUCAAGUACAACACGUAUAGGGUGUGAGGCUGAGGCUGCCAAUAAAGAAAGAUGAUUAUGUGGGAAGAGACAAAGAAGCAAAAAGGAAUAAGUUAAGCAAAGCUGUUUCUUUAAAUAAAGAAGUCAUAGGUGGGUUAAGAGCCAGUUGUAAGAUGGUGAGGUGUUGUUUCAUCUAUAUUAGGGUGUAGCCCCAAUGCUUUCUUCUUACUCUUUCUUCUGACUAGAUUCCUUAUUAGGAAGGCGCUAGAUUCCAUUAAGUAUUGGCUAAGGGAACAAGAGGUUGUCCUGAGUUCAGAGUUCGAACGAGCAAAGCAAAUGCGUUAGUGAGCCACUUUCUCGGGGUUUCAAAUCUUUAUUUUCCACCCUUAACGUCAAGCAAGCUGUAAAACCCAUCUUUCUCGGCAACAGACCUCUAUCUCUCUCUGCUCAACUCAUCUUAUGGCUAAUCUAAGCUAAAAACGCUUAUUCUCUCAGUAAGUUUCGGGCACCGCGACCACGUAAAGGGGCUUGUAGAGAAUACUUGAAAACCGUCGUUUAAUCUAUGUUCAACUCCUCUUUAUGGUAAUCUAUCAUUUCUGCCCUGACCCACUGCUUUUCAUUCAUUUUGGAUUAAUAACAACGACGACAGCCCUAGUUGCUUCGCCCCUUGCCUUGACUGUACCCGCUCCUAAUACUUAAUCUCUCUAUUAUUUGAAAACGAUUAAUCUCUCUAGUAUUUGAAAACUCUUAUAGUAGUUGCUAAGUAGUUGCUCGGCCCGUUGCUUGUUCCCCUGCUUGUUGCAUUUCAUUUAGCUAUCCUAGUAAAGAAUAACCUAAGCUCACUACUCACUACUCACUGCUCACUACUCACUGCUCACUGCUGACAUCUUACAUGAAGUAACAAAACAGCUUGUUGAAAGAGAGCUUUUUAUUGCUGGCUCUAAGGAAUAGGCACAUAUACACUAAUAUAAGAAAGUCAACAACCUGCGGACAUCUGACUGCAGGCUCUGCUCUACCUAACACUAAACUAGAAAGAAAGAGAAUUGAAGAUACCGGUUCACUAUAUAUAAAAUGUAACAAACAGUCUUGCUUCGAACAAGUAAGGUUCCGUUGCGCUUGGUGAGUAGAGUUCACCGUUGUUAAGAGUUCUCUAUUCGUAUUGAGGCACAGUUAGUUCAGAUAUUAUUGACCGGCACCCAAUACUAUGAAAUAAGAAAUAGAUUGAAGCCAAUACUAUGAAAUAAGAAAUAGAUUGAAGUUCAAAAGAAUAUAGGUAGGAUGGUUCACAACUAUGCAAAAGAAUAUGGGAAGACGUUGCACUUAAAGGACAGAGAGGAACCAACCCCGAGUUGCUUGUGAAAAAGCUGUUGUUUGCUGCUUACUUGUUUUAGUUACCGCGAAUUGAAGGAAUUCUUAUUAAGAUAAGUCACUUAUUCUAUAGUAACCGAACCUUACUGCUUACUCUGAGGCGGAGGUACCCCGAGCCGAGUUGCUUUAAGAAUUGAGGCAAGGCAGUCGAGGAACCUACUCCCUUUUCUAAUAGUUUGGUUUAGGCCAUUCCAAAAACGAAUCCGACUCUCCCCCCUGCCCCCUUGGGCUGGCUCUUUUCUUCCUUAUUUUGAUCUAGUUUGUGUGUAGUGCGCGUGGUAAGGUGCUUUUUCUGUCUGUGGAGCCGCACUCACUUCCGGGGAUUUCCUCUUCGCAGUCGCUCGAGCUGCCCUCCGGGGAUUUCUUCUUCGCAGUCGCUCGAGCUGCCCGAAGUCACCCUUUCUUGCCACCGGUUCGGCACCCACUAGUAGGCGUUUCCCUAAGGUAUUCCCCAGCACGGCUUAUGCGGAUCUCUCUCUCUACUACCAGGGAACAGGUUCUAAUCCCCAAAGACUCCCCUCCGUCCAAACAAUAGGGCGCUAAGGCAUAAUCUCUCUUUCCUUUCGAUAAGUAAGCAAUGGAUUCAUCUGCGCUCUCGAGCUAUAACAAGGAUUUCCUGGAUAUAACCGAUCUUAUUAUUCCGUUCAUGAAGUGGAGUGGGACCUGUUAUCUCUUCUUAUGGAGUGGAACCCGUUAUCUCCUCUUAUCUAAAAGAUAUUAAAGCUUACAAUCCAGAUAUGAGACUAGGAAUACCUGCACAUCUCCGAUCGUAGAUCAAAUCAGGAAUAUUUCUUUUGCCGGGUCGUUUACUAGACAUAAAAUAGAAGGCUCUGACAAGACCUAAGGUUGCUUGCCUGUGACACUAACCUAGGGGCCGAGCCCAGCCUCAUGUGCUGAUAUAGUUUUCUACUUUAUAGAAUGGCCUCCUUUAUUGAGAAUCCUGACCAACCAUCCCUGUCAUAUGAAGCUCUCUUCUCGGUCUUUUUAGAAGGUGAGGAAGAAUCCUAAACUCCUAUGAAAGAAAUUCGAAUAUGUAAUAUAUUGUAGAGGAGAGUGCAGCAGUAAUAUAUUGUAGAGGAGAGUGCAGCGUCCGGAAGGCUUUCAAUCAUGCUUAUAAGAAGCUAGAGCUUUCCGUUAUGAAGCUAUUGUUUGUGAAUCUCCAUCCCGAAGAUCUUUACUUGAUUUCCACUAUUAAGAAAGCGAAAUGACCCUCAUUCAGUUGAAAAGUCCUGUGAAAGACUAAAGAAAUUCAUAUAAAGUAGGCUACUAUACGUACACGAAUCUAAAGGCAUCGAUUUUCACCAAAGUUAAGGAAAACUAUCAUCGCACCGAAAAAGUAGCCUUCGCUUACGUAAGCCUUUGCUGGCUUUAUGCUUGCUUACCCUAGAAAGACAUCUUUCCCUAACCACCUUAACUAGCCCGCUGGAUUUCUCACUUGAUCAGUCACUUUAUGUCUCACAGGGGAUAACAGUUGGGACUAGGUCCAAAAAGGAUAUCUAAAGAAUUUCCACCCUUAGACAAUGGGCUCGCUUAGACUUAGAAAAGGCCCCUUACAACAAACUUGCCCAGAGAAAGCCUACUAUAAGCUUACAUAAUCACCUACUCUCUAGUCGGAUGUUGCAUAUGUUGUAUAGUUGAUUUAUAGAAUAUGGGAUUUGAUGAACGGGACUGUAUGGGCGUACCCUGGGCCUGCUACAACUCUCACCGGUAUUCAAACCAGGCGACUACUAGACAAGGGGAUUGAGCUCUGUUUAAUAGAUGUUGGUAACUUGACCCACCGAGUACUCUAAAGUUAGCAAGGCAUCGCAGCUGACGCUGCCCUCGCAUCAAAGCAACAGAAUCAUUAGCUACUACUAGGUAUUAUGAUAGAAGUCUGAAAGUCAUAAUCUAGCUUUGAAGGGCAUAAACCUAAUAAGAGGCUGGAGCCAUGUAUCCAAAUUGAUGCUUUCGUCUGGCCGCUACCGCUCUUAUUGCAAAGCUUCUUCUCUGGAAACGGAAACUACACUUGCUGAUUCUUCACCGACAGAUGAAACUAGAACGGAGCUAUCCUUUCCUUCCCGUGCUUGCUGCUGGACUUUAGCCUUGAAAGCAUUUGAGUUUACUCUUUACUUAUUUCUAUUAAUGUCACAAGCUAUAUUCUUUUCUGGCUGGGCUAAGCGCAUUCUUCUUCUUGUCUUGUCCGACCUAUACUUUCCGUUAUGAAUGGAAAUUGAGAAUAUAUCUCUUGCACCAGGAGCCCGGGACUACUUCAUUGAAUCUAGCUGCGCCCUUCGCACUACUUCAUUGAAUCUCUCUUUCACAUGGUAUAUAAGAAAGUCCAGUCAAGUCGAACAGGCAAUUCGAGUCGAUAUGAUGAAAGUAGAACUUCGCAUUCCGAGCCAUCAGCAUUACUAACUAUUGAUGAAGAAUGUCUUUCUUAGUAUUUUCAGUCUGAGUCUCCCAACCAACCGUCUUAGCAGGCAGGGCAUCAGUGAA
RNAcentral lists this long non-coding RNA (3992 nucleotides) under Musa acuminata (dwarf banana). RNAcentral's name for it is "long non-coding RNA (MACU_LNC007535)". The record is from RNAcentral. Lineage: Eukaryota; Viridiplantae; Streptophyta; Magnoliopsida; Zingiberales; Musaceae.